This 500-nucleotide ribosomal RNA is filed under the name uncultured bacterium. Its description in RNAcentral is "partial 16S ribosomal RNA". It matches the Rfam family "Bacterial small subunit ribosomal RNA", at positions 30 to 523 of the family's 1533-position model. The record is from RNAcentral.
AUUGAACGCUGGCGGAAUGCUUUACACAUGCAAGUCGAACGGCAGCACGGACUUCGGUCUGGUGGCGAGUGGCGAACGGGUGAGUAAUGUAUCGGAACGUGCCCAGUCGUGGGGGAUAAGGUAGUGAAAAUUACGCUAAUACGGCAUACGAUCUAUGGAUGAAAGCGGGGGAUCGCAAGAACUCGAGCGAUUGGAGCGGCCGAUAUCCGAUUAGGUAGUUGGUGGGGUAAAGGCCCACCAAGCCAACGAUCUGUAGCUGGUCGGAGAGGACGACCAGCCACACUGGAACUGAGACACGGUCCAGACUCCUACGGGAGGCAGCAGUGGGGAAUUUUGGACAAUGGGCGAAAGCCUGAUCCAGCCAUUCCGCGUGCAGGAUGAAGGCCCUCGGGUUGUAAACUGCUUUUGUACAGAACGAAAAGGUUUCUACUAAUACUAGGAGCUCAUGACGGUACUGUAAGAAUAAGCACCGGCUAACUACGUGCCAGCCGCCGCAGUAA